This is a small nuclear RNA of Homo sapiens (human), 101 nucleotides long. The record is from Ensembl. Lineage: Eukaryota; Metazoa; Chordata; Mammalia; Primates; Hominidae.
GUGAGACCAAGAACCCACCAAUUCCAGACACAGAAUGACACAGAUUAGCAUGGCCCCUCCACAAGGAGGACACGCACCUUCAUGAAGCAUUCCAUUUUUUC